GGGCCCGUAGCUCAGUUGGUAGAGCAGAGGACUUUUAAUCCUACGGUCCGGGGUUCGAGUCCCCGCGGGCUCACCA
This 76-nucleotide transfer RNA is filed under the name Myxococcales bacterium. RNAcentral's name for it is "tRNA-Lys". It matches the Rfam family "tRNA". From Rfam's summary of the family: Transfer RNA (tRNA) molecules are approximately 80 nucleotides in length. Their secondary structure includes four short double-helical elements and three loops (D, anti-codon, and T loops). The record is from RNAcentral. Lineage: Bacteria; Pseudomonadati; Myxococcota; Myxococcia; Myxococcales. RNAcentral also lists the same sequence under 1 other name.